ACGUGAGAGAGAAGAGCAAGUGCUCUAGGGAAAUGAGUCAGGGCCCCGGAGGAAGGGCCGGGAGCCCCUGGGGGUCUAAAAGGCUCCCUGGUGACAUUGAUGCCAGGACCAGAAAGACAAGAGCAGCCAGCCCUGCACACUCUGUGAGCAGUGAUCUGGGGGGGAGCUCAAAGGUGCAGAGACUCGGAGGCAGAAGAGAAUUUGGCCGGAGAGCAGAGCCCAACAGAACUCGGAACCCGGUCACCAGGCACCACGUUCUAGAGAAGCCCCUGCCCAGCUCGCUCGGCCAGAGCCCUGGAACGAGCAACGUGCCCUCCUGCUGCGUCCUGAGGCCGCGGUCACAGACGCAUCUCGCCAUUUCCCCGGAGGCACCCUAAGGUGACACAGAGCUCCACUCGGGAGAUCAGUGAGGCUGGUCGACGGGGACACUCCCUCCGUCUCCCUGAGUGAGGGGUAUCCACACGGCCCACGAGGGCAGCACAGGCUGGGGCGAGCGCCAACAUGAAGGGGUCUCCAGAACGAGGACCCCAGAUGGCCUGGGAAGGUCACCUGCACCCGCUCCUGUGGAGACCCAGAGCCAGCCCUGGACCCGCCAGCCCUGCAGGGAGGACCGGCUCCGGCUCCGCCCUCAGUGCCGGCUCUGACCCACACCUUCUACCUGCUCCCCCCAACCCAGAACUUUCCUUCCCCUCCCCUGUUAUUUCUGUUCUGUUUUUGCUUUUUUAAUUUUUACUUUUUCAUUUUACAUUAUUUGCGAUGUCUUUUAUUUUAGGCCUUAAUAUAGUGGCAUUUAAUUUUUUU
Molecule: long non-coding RNA, 801 nt
Organism: Balaenoptera acutorostrata (minke whale)
Lineage: Eukaryota; Metazoa; Chordata; Mammalia; Artiodactyla; Balaenopteridae
Exons: 3
Source: RefSeq, a predicted model, not a curated record